CUUUGACGCCUCCUAUAGCUGGAUAUCUUGUAGAAAGGUUUGGGUAUAGGAACGGGUCAAUGUUCAUGUUUGGUCUUCUGGUAUUUUGGACUCCAGUUACAUGCUUUCAGUGGAUGGCUUGCUCCUGCAGCAGGCAACGCAAAAAGAAGUGCGACAUAAUUACUUAAUUCAGUACAUCUUGAUCGCAUACCUUUAUAUUAGGUUGAUACUAAAGAAAGUUUCGUAAUUUA
Rhipicephalus microplus (southern cattle tick) is the source of this 230-nucleotide long non-coding RNA. Lineage: Eukaryota; Metazoa; Arthropoda; Arachnida; Ixodida; Ixodidae. The record is from RefSeq and is a predicted model, not a curated record.